GUAUGUACUGGGAAAAUGAACCCAUAAACUGCAGGGAGUGACUGUGGGCCAGACUCUGUUGGCUUCGCUCUGCGUCUUGGCUGCCGAACAAAGGUGCUGCCGAAAAGGUUCCUGGUGUUCUUACUGAAUUUGCAUCUAAUACAACAGAGCUCUUCUUCAGACUGUACUUACGUGUUUUGAGGCAAGUUCUGUCUUUGGAUUUUGAACUGCAGUCCCGAUUCAAGCGUGCCUCACCUGAAUCAGUUUGUGGAAAAAUAUUUAGAACAGAGCGCUGUGCCUAGGAGAGAAGCAGCCGAUGAGUAUUUUUCCUUCCCCAGGUCGUGAUCAGAGGAUGCAAAGAGAAGGUGCCAUCAUGUGAAGGGGAAGCAGCUCGCUGAGAAGCAGGACGCAGGGGAAGGCCAAGCUUGAGAGCUCCUGAGUGCAGGAUGACGGACUGAUCUGCCCUUGGACACGAGAGCCGCCCUCYUCCGAAGGACUCGGCCGAGCGAGAGGAGAGGAGCAGGAGGCAGCGCCCGGAAGAGCGAUGGGAAGGGAGGGCCAUGGUUACCUGAGAUAAAUGGCCGGUCGCUGGGAGUGGGGCCCUG
Long non-coding RNA from Nothoprocta perdicaria, 584 nucleotides. RefSeq lists it as uncharacterized. Lineage: Eukaryota; Metazoa; Chordata; Aves; Tinamiformes; Tinamidae. The transcript has 6 exons. The record is from RefSeq and is a predicted model, not a curated record.